Molecule: non-coding RNA, 1895 nt
Organism: Sesamum indicum (sesame)
Lineage: Eukaryota; Viridiplantae; Streptophyta; Magnoliopsida; Lamiales; Pedaliaceae
Source: RefSeq, a predicted model, not a curated record
CUAUUCUAAAUACUUUUCCAUGUAAAUUUUUUAUAGGAAAACUAAUCCUCAUCUAAACUUGUCUUUUCUGUAAAUUGUUUCUUUAAGCAUUCCCCCCUUUUCCAUGGCGAUUGAUAGCUCAAGCUACCGUUUGGAGCCCUUCUUUAUAUAGAUAGGCUUUUUUCUUGAUGAUGAUGUUCCAUGGAGGAAAGUAAUGUGGUUGUGGUAUUGAGCUCACCUUGAAGAUUUUGGACAAAUAAGAAUUUAAGAUAGUGUAAGAUAUAGGUUAAUUAUUUUUUGUUUCUAGUUAAGUUAUUUUUUGGCUCAAUAUAUUCAGAUUUUGUUGUUAAUUGGAUUUUGGAUGAAAAUUCCAUUGUACAUUUCAUCUCAGUCGAAGAAAAAUCCAAUUAGUAUCUUAUAUUGAGCCAAAAAUUUAGCAUGGAUUUAGAUGCCCAAAAACCUUUUCCAUGGAUUUUUACUUGUCCAAGACAUCUUCAAGGAUACCGCAAAUAUAAUGCAUUUUCUCCGUUGGAACACCAUCACUCCGAGAAGCCCAAUUUAUAUUACAAGUCUUCGAAUGAGUAGAUCGAGCUAUUUGUCCUUGAUCAGAUAUACCAUCUUUCUUUGUGCUUUAUAGUGAUGGCUAUGUAUGGACCUUAUAAUGCAUACCUUCUACUAUUUCUCAAUUUGGUAUGUGUACUUCUUGUUGUUCCGCUAUGCUGUGCUGCUUCUUUUAAAUGGUAAUACAGGUUAGGGUGCCGAUCUCAAUGCUGAGCGGCUGCGAUUGUUUGCGUAGCAGAUUCACAAUUUGUUUCAGAUUAUGUACGUUACUAUCUCCACCAACACACCAAUUAGUUGUGAAGGCAGUCUCUCUUGCCAUUGCUCAGGAUGGUGCCAGUGGUGGUAGCAGAUUCACAAUUUGUUUGAGAUUAUGUACGUUACUAUCUCCACCAACACACCAAUUAGUUGUGAAGGCAGUCUCUCUUGCCAUUGCUCGGGAUGGUGCCAGUGGUGGUGUUGUUCGGACAGUGACUAUCAACAAAGAUGGCGUUACUAGAAAGUUCUAUCCCGGGGACACCCUCCCUCUGUGGCAUGAAGAAAUGGAACCCCAGAAUUCACUGUUGGAUACUUUAUCAGCUGCAAGUCCUGAACCAAUGCAUUCCCCCCUUUUCCAUGGCGAUUGAUAGCUCAAGCUACCGUUUGGAGCCCUUCUUUAUAUAGAUAGGCUUUUUUCUUGAUGAUGAUGUGUUCCAUGGAGGAAAGUAAUGUGGUUGUGGUAUUGAGCUCACCUUGAAGAUUUUGGACAAAUAAGAAUUUAAGAUAGUGUAAGAUAUAGGUUAAUUAUUUUUUGUUUCUAGUUAAGUUAUUUUUUGGCUCAAUAUAUUCAAAUUUUGUUGUUAAUUGGAUUUUGGCUGAAAAUUCCAUUGUACAUUUCAUCUCAGUCGAAGCAAAAUCCAAUUAGUAUCUUAUAUUGAGCCAAAAAUUUAGCAUGGAUUUAGAUGCCCAAAAACCUUUUCCAUGGAUUUUUACUUGUCCAAGACGUCUUCAAGGAUACCGCAAAUAUAAUGCAUUUUCUCCGUUGGAACACCAUCACUCCGAGAAGCCCAAUUUAUAUUACAAGUCUUCGAAUGAGUAGAUCGAGCUAUUUGUCCUUGAUCAGAUAUACCAUCUUUCUUUGUGGUUUAUAGAGAUGGCUAUGUAUGGACCUUAUAAUGCAUACCUUCUACUAUUUCUCAAUUUGGUAUGUGUACUUCUUGUUGUUCCGCUAUGCUGUGCUGCUUCUUUUAAAUGGUAAUACAGGUUAGGGUGCCGAUCUCAAUGCUGAGCAGCUGCGAUUGUUUGCGUAAGUUACAUAUGCGUUGUGCACACUGUUGGGCACAAGGUGAGGGCGUGGAGCUGUGUGCACGGGGUAUGGC